RNAcentral lists this ribosomal RNA (117 nucleotides) under Streptomyces smyrnaeus. RNAcentral also lists the same sequence under 3 other names. The record is from RNAcentral. Lineage: Bacteria; Bacillati; Actinomycetota; Actinomycetes; Kitasatosporales; Streptomycetaceae.
UUCGGUGGUCAUAGCGUGAGGGAAACGCCCGGUUACAUUCCGAACCCGGAAGCUAAGCCUUUCAGCGCCGAUGGUACUGCAUGCGGGAGUGUGUGGGAGAGUAGGACGCCGCCGAAC